CGCCAGGUAGUGCCUGUUGCUGAUGUUCCAGCCGCCGGUGUAGUACCUGAGCCCGUCCAGGGGGUCCUUCCGCCGCGUGCGCUCCGCCGCCAGCACGGUCGUCGUCGUGUCGGACGCCGCAGCUGCAUGCAAUUCAUCCACGUACGUGUGUCAGCUCACCGAUACCGGUCGUUCGCACAAGAAGCUCUUCAUGUGGACGAAGAAAAAAAAAGGGUACCUGACGCAUGGGCGCAGAGGGUUGCAGAGACGACGACGAGGACGACGAGCCAGCUUCUGCCGGACCCGGACGGUCCCAUGGCUGCCCUGCUGUGCUGCCUGCCUGUGCAAUUGGAAGCGACCCUGAUCG
This 346-nucleotide unclassified non-coding RNA is filed under the name Zea mays. RNAcentral describes it as "misc RNA Zm00001eb275170". The record is from RNAcentral. Lineage: Eukaryota; Viridiplantae; Streptophyta; Magnoliopsida; Poales; Poaceae.